GGCUUUUUGAUAAUAAUUUAAAGUCUGACCUGCCCACUGAUAUAUUAAAUGGCCGCGGUAUUUUGACCGUGCAAAGGUAGCAUAAUCAUUAGUUUUUUAAUUAAAAGCUGGUAUGAAGGGUUUGAUAAGAAAAAAGCUGUCUCAAUUUAAUUUUAUUAGAAUUUUAUUUUUAAGUUAAAAAGCUUAAAUAAGUUUAAAAGACGAGAAGACCCUAUAGAGUUUAAUAUUAUAUUUAUUAUAAGAUAAGGAUUUAAUUAUUAUAAUUUAUUAUAGUAUUUAAUUGGGGUGAUUAAAAAAUUUAUUUAACUUUUUUUAUAUACUUACAUUUAUUUAUGAAUAGUUGAUCCAUUAAUAAUGAUUAUAAGAUAAAAUUACCUUAGGGAUAACAGCGUAAUUUUUUUAAAGAGUUCUAAUCGAAAAAAAAGAUUGCGACCUCGAUGUUGGAUUAAAGUUAAUGUUUGGUGUAGAAGCUAUAAAAUUAAGUCUGUUCGACUUUUAAAACUUUACA
This 508-nucleotide ribosomal RNA is filed under the name Ascetoderes vittatus. RNAcentral's name for it is "partial 16S ribosomal RNA". It matches the Rfam family "Bacterial large subunit ribosomal RNA", at positions 1819 to 2600 of the family's 2925-position model. Lineage: Eukaryota; Metazoa; Arthropoda; Insecta; Coleoptera; Bothrideridae. The record is from RNAcentral.